This 504-nucleotide ribosomal RNA is filed under the name uncultured bacterium. RNAcentral's name for it is "partial 16S ribosomal RNA". It matches the Rfam family "Bacterial small subunit ribosomal RNA", at positions 24 to 501 of the family's 1533-position model. The record is from RNAcentral.
UCGGGAGGAACGCUGGGGGCGUGCUUAACACAUUGCAAGUCGUACGAGUGCCGUCCUUUGUGGGGGUGAGGCGAGUGGCGGGCGGGUGAGUAACACGUGAGCAACCUGUUCCUGUUGGGGGGGACAACCCGUGGAAAGGCGGGCUAAUACCGCAUGGACCGAGGACCCUGAGUGGGGACUUUGGGAAAGAUGGCCUCUUUACAAUGCCUGUCGUGCAGGGAGGGGCUCGCGGGCUAUCAGCUAGUUGGUGAGGUAACGGCUCACCAAGGCGGCGACGGGUAGGGGGUGUGAGAGGACGACCCCCCACAUUGGAACUGAGACACGGUCCAGACUCCUACGGGAGGCAGCAGUGGAGAAUUUUGGGCAAUGGGCGCAAGCCUGACCCAGCGACGCCGCGUGUGGGAGGAAGCCUUUCGGGGUGUAAACCACUGUCAGGGGGGACGAACUGCCGGGGCGGGAAUACGGCUCCGGUUUGACGGACCCCCAAAGGAAGCGCCUGCGACG